UGCUGGUCCAAAGGCCCUGACUUAUCUCAGUUGAUUGCUCCCAGUCCGGUACUCACUGAAUGCCUAUUCUACGUGUUCCCCAUUCUCACUAAUACACUUGACUAGUUAAU
This is a non-coding RNA of Rattus norvegicus (Norway rat), 110 nucleotides long. Ensembl annotates it as Y RNA. NCBI's taxonomy places the organism in Eukaryota, Metazoa, Chordata, Mammalia, Rodentia, Muridae. The record is from Ensembl.